This 1555-nucleotide long non-coding RNA is filed under the name Gossypium barbadense (sea-island cotton). Its description in RNAcentral is "long non-coding RNA (GBAR_LNC006104)". The record is from RNAcentral. Lineage: Eukaryota; Viridiplantae; Streptophyta; Magnoliopsida; Malvales; Malvaceae.
UGAAAAUCUGUCCAUUCAUAAUUUAUCUAAAAAACGAACUCAUUUAUUAAUCAUCAUAUUAAGUCUCAACAAUUACGUCUCAUCUUUAAGGCACAUCAUAAUACCACUCUAUUUAGUUCUAUCGCAUUAAACAACUUGCCCCAAAUCCAUUAAUACCUACUCAGCCCCAAAUCCAUUAAUACCUACUCAGCACAUGGCACAUGGGAUAGUAGAGGACAAGUAUAUGAAGACUCAUGUCCAAGGAUCAGACCAAACUAUCUACAUCUCUCCUCCCAGCCUAGCUCAGGGCACAUCCUCUCUUCCUUUUUGUCUUUCCUUCCCAAUACUCCAAUCAUUCUUUCUGACAGCUCUUUGCCCUGUCCUAAAUAGGGUGAACUACCCAUCUUCACCAUUUAUCCAUUAGUGUAUCAACAACUGAGACAGUGAGCAUGAACCCACUUCUGACCAAGUAACAUUUCUAAUGGACCAGGCUAAUCGAAACAACCAAAUUACCAAGACCUACAACAACAACCAAACUAUCCAAUACAUUAAUCAGACUCAACCACAAAACCAAAACUUUGGAAUGUACUAUUACGACCUAUACAACCUGGAUGCCCAACAUUCUCCUUUACAACAAAUAUAUUACGAAGCUUACCCUAGUCACCAGCCCACGAACCAGAAAAUUACAACUUAAAACCAGAAUAACUCUCACCAGUUUUCUAAGUUGCAAGAAAAAGUUUGGAAUUGGCAAGAGCAGUUUAGACAAUCUCAGGAAUUCCAACAACAAUAGCAACAAGUAUACAAGCAACAACAUUAACUUUUACAGUGUAACGUGCAAGAACUAUUGACGGCCCAGCGCCAUCAGAGGGGAUGGUGUAAUGACGAAGAGACAAGAGCUUUCUCAAUCAGGCAAGGCUAGGACCGCAAUUGGAACCGAUAAAACCGACAACAGAGAAAUAAAGCAGGCAACAACCCAAGGGCCGAUAAGGGAAUUACACAGUGAAGGGAUCUGGAGUAUGUUUUCAUACAAUAUGGAAUGAUGAAUUUCAAACUCUUUGCAAAGAGUUGCAGGAUUUGCAGACUGCACAGCUGGGUUAUACAAAAUGAAUGCCAAUCACUCAGAUCCCCUAGCAAUGUGUAUCCAGACAACUUAAAAUUGCUAAAAGAAGUGUACGAUGGUAAAAAGGAUCCCACAGGCCACCUAUUGCAAAUAACAAGCUGCAUGGAUAUUUUUGGGCAUCAAAUGAGUUAAAGUGCAAAGUCUUCCCUACGACACUCUGAGGGAAUGCAAAAAACUAGUAAAAUUCUCACACCCAGGAUUAUUUAGCAGCUUUUGAUGAAUUGUCCGAACUCUUUGUUGGUCAUUUUGUUGGGUUUUUGAACAAUUUAUCCAAAGGAAGUAUGAAGCUCAGUCAAGAACUUGAACAACAACUUAAAAAAUCCGAAUAAAGAAUGAAGGAAGAUUGAGCUUCAAAAGGCUCGAUAUUUGCAAGAUAAACAAACAGAAUUUUACUUGGUAAAAGAAAGCAAAAAUUGAGAGAUUAUUUUUCUUGAAUGAUUUCUAUUGAAAUUCAUU